Molecule: ribosomal RNA, 232 nt
Filed under: uncultured bacterium
Lineage: Bacteria
Description: partial 16S ribosomal RNA
Rfam family: Bacterial small subunit ribosomal RNA
Source: RNAcentral
UGAGGAACAUGACCUUCGGCGGGGGAGUAGCCGGCCCAACGGCCGGGUAAUACCGCGUACGACCACAUGGGGACAUCCCUGAGUGGUGUAAGCAGCAAUGCGCCGAUGGAGUGCCUCGCGGCCUAUCAGCUAGUUGGUGAGGUAACGGCUCACCAAGGCAACGACGGGUAGCUGGUCUGAGAGGAUGGCCAGCCACAUUGGGACUGAGACACGGCCCAGAUCCCGUACGGGG